This 505-nucleotide ribosomal RNA is filed under the name uncultured bacterium. RNAcentral's name for it is "partial 16S ribosomal RNA". It matches the Rfam family "Bacterial small subunit ribosomal RNA", at positions 29 to 523 of the family's 1533-position model. The record is from RNAcentral.
AUUGAACGCUGGCGGCAGGCCUAACACAUGCAAGUCGAACGGCAGCACAGAAGAGCUUGCUCUUUGGGUGGCGAGUGGCAGACGGGGGAGUAAUGGCUGGGACACUGCCCGACGGAGGGGGACAACUACUGGAAACGGUAGCUAAUACCGCAUAACGUCGCAAGACCAAAGUGGGGGACAUUCGGGCCUCCCACCCUCGGAUGCGCCCAGAUGGGAUUAGCUAGUAGGUGGGUAAUGGCGCACCUAGGCGACGAUCCCUAGCUGGUCUGAGAGGAUGACCAGCCACACUGGAACUGAGACACGGUCCAGACUCCUACGGGAGGCAGCAGUGGGGAAUAUUGCACAAUGGGCGCAAGCCUGAUGCAGCCAUGCCGCGUGUAUGAAGAAGGCCUUCGGGUUGUAAAGUACUUUCAGCGGGGAGGAAGGCGGUGAGGUUAAUAACCUCGCCGAUUGACGUUACCCGCAGAAGAAGCACCGGCUAACUCCGUGCCAGCCGCCGCAGUAA